This 252-nucleotide ribosomal RNA is filed under the name uncultured bacterium. RNAcentral describes it as "partial 16S ribosomal RNA". It matches the Rfam family "Bacterial small subunit ribosomal RNA", at positions 524 to 775 of the family's 1533-position model. The record is from RNAcentral.
UACGAAGGGGCGAGCGUUGUUCGGAAUUACUGGGCGUAAAGGGCGCGCAGGCGGCCCGUUGAAGUCAGGCGUGAAAGCCCCGGGCUCAACCUGGGAGGUGCGCUUGAUACUCGAGGGCUUGAGUGCGGGAGAGGAGAGUGGAAUUCCCAGUGUAGAGGUGAAAUUCGUAGAUAUUGGGAAGAACACCGGUGGCGAAGGCGGCUCUCUGGACCGUAACUGACGCUGAGGCGCGAAAGCGUGGGGAGCAACAGG